This 96-nucleotide transfer RNA is filed under the name Bacillota bacterium. RNAcentral's name for it is "Firmicutes bacterium (anaerobic digester metagenome) tRNA-Ser". It matches the Rfam family "tRNA". Rfam says of the family: Transfer RNA (tRNA) molecules are approximately 80 nucleotides in length. Their secondary structure includes four short double-helical elements and three loops (D, anti-codon, and T loops). The record is from RNAcentral. RNAcentral also lists the same sequence under 1 other name. Lineage: Bacteria; Bacillati; Bacillota.
GGAGAGAUGGCCGAGUAGGUCGAAGGCGGUCGCCUGCUAAGCGAUUAAGCGGGUUUAUAGCCCGCUUCGUGGGUUCGAAUCCCACUCUCUCCGCCA